UCAGAUUUCAUGCAAAAAUGAAUUAUUCCUCUGUUACCUGAUUUCUAAAGUUUCUAACUAUGACCUGCUUGUCUCCCAUUUUUCUUCAAGAGGGAGGAGAGGAGGCGGGAGGGCAACGUGACGUGUGAACCCUCUCAUGUAAAAGAGAGAGGAGAGGAGAAACAAUUAAAGAAGAGAGGAGAAAACAAAACUAGAAAAACGGAGAGGAGCGGAGGCGGGAGGGCAACAUGACGUGUGAACUCCCUCUCAUGUAAAAGAGAAACACAGAGAUACCGAAGACAGGAGAAAAUGAAACGAGAAGAAAGGAGAGGAGAGGAGGCGGAGGGCGAUAUGAAGAGUGAACCCUCUCAGUCAAAAAGGAAAGAUCAGUUUAAUUCAUAUUAUCUAGAUGAUACACAUGAAUAAUCCAUCUCUUCACCAUUAUUCUCUGAAGAUUUAACUGUUAUUCCCCCUUUACUGCAUUUGUUUUUAUUUUUUUGGAAAGAGAAAAGGAAAAGACAGGAUUUAAGAAGAGACUGAAGAGACGGGAAAAGAAGAGAGG
Molecule: long non-coding RNA, 541 nt
Organism: Xiphias gladius (swordfish)
Lineage: Eukaryota; Metazoa; Chordata; Actinopteri; Istiophoriformes; Xiphiidae
Exons: 3
Source: RefSeq, a predicted model, not a curated record